RNAcentral lists this ribosomal RNA (3036 nucleotides) under Salmonella enterica. Its description in RNAcentral is "bacterial LSU rRNA". It matches the Rfam family "Bacterial large subunit ribosomal RNA". The record is from RNAcentral. Lineage: Bacteria; Pseudomonadati; Pseudomonadota; Gammaproteobacteria; Enterobacterales; Enterobacteriaceae.
UUAAGCGACCAAGCGUACACGGUGGAUGCCCUGGCAGUCAGAGGCGAUGAAGGACGUGCUAAUCUGCGAUAAGCGCCGGUAAGGUGAUAUGAACCGUUAUAACCGGCGAUUUCCGAAUGGGGAAACCCAGUGUGAUUCGUCACACUAUCAUUACGUGAAUACAUAGCGUAAUGAAGCGAACCGGGGGAACUGAAACAUCUAAGUACCCCGAGGAAAAGAAAUCAACCGAGAUUCCCCCAGUAGCGGCGAGCGAACGGGGAGGAGCCCAGAGUCUGAAUCAGCAUAUGUGUUAGUGGAAGCGUCUGGAAAGGCGCGCGAUACAGGGUGACAGCCCCGUACACAAAAGCGCAUAUGCUGUGAGCUCGAUGAGUAGGGCGGGACACGUGGUAUCCUGUCUGAAUAUGGGGGGACCAUCCUCCAAGGCUAAAUACUCCUGACUGACCGAUAGUGAACCAGUACCGUGAGGGAAAGGCGAAAAGAACCCCGGCGAGGGGAGUGAAACAGAACCUGAAACCGUGUACGUACAAGCAGUGGGAGCCCCACCACCAAAGCGUUUGCUGUAGCGCGUUGACGGAGCGAAGCGACGUCAAACCGAAAAAAACAGCAGCGAUGAACGCAGGGCUUUUUGCACGAAGUGCAAAGGCAGACGCGUUCGCGAAGCGAAAAGCGAAUGUUUUGGGGUGGGGUGACUGCGUACCUUUUGUAUAAUGGGUCAGCGACUUAUAUUCUGUAGCAAGGUUAACCGCAUAGGGGAGCCGAAGGGAAACCGAGUCUUAAUUGGGCGUUAAGUUGCAGGGUAUAGACCCGAAACCCGGUGAUCUAGCCAUGGGCAGGUUGAAGGUUGGGUAACACUAACUGGAGGACCGAACCGACUAAUGUUGAAAAAUUAGCGGAUGACCUGUGGCUGGGGGUGAAAGGCCAAUCAAACCGGGAGAUAGCUGGUUCUCCCCGAAAGCUAUUUAGGUAGCGCCUCGUGAAUUCAUCUCCGGGGGUAGAGCACUGUUUCGGCCAGGGGGCCAUCCCGGCUUACCAAUCCGAUGCAAACUGCGAAUACCGGAGAAUGUUAUCACGGGAGACACACGGCGGGUGCUAACGUCCGUCGUGAAGAGGGAAACAACCCAGACCGCCAGCUAAGGUCCCAAAGUCAUGGUUAAGUGGGAAACGAUGUGGGAAGGCCCAGACAGCCAGGAUGUUGGCUUAGAAGCAGCCAUCAUUUAAAGAAAGCGUAAUAGCUCACUGGUCGAGUCGGCCUGCGCGGAAGAUGUAACGGGGCUAAACCAUGCACCGAAGCUGCGGCAGCGACACUGUGUGUUGUUGGGUAGGGGAGCGUUCUGUAAGCCGUAGAAGGUGUCCUGUGAGGGGUGCUGGAGGUAUCAGAAGUGCGAAUGCUGACAUAAGUAACGAUAAAGCGGGUGAAAAGCCCGCUCGCCGGAAGACCAAGGGUUCCUGUCCAACGUUAAUCGGGGCAGGGUGAGUCGACCCCUAAGGCGAGGCCGAAAGGCGUAGUCGAUGGGAAACGGGUUAAUAUUCCCGUACUUGGUGUUACUGCGAAGGGGGGACGGAGAAGGCUAUGUUGGCCGGGCGACGGUUGUCCCGGUUUAAGCGUGUAGGCUGACUUUCCAGGCAAAUCCGGAGAGUCAAGGCUGAGGCGUGACGACGAGGCACCACGGUGCUGAAGCAACAAAUGCCCUGCUUCCAGGAAAAGCCUCUAAGCAUCAGGUAACAUCAAAUCGUACCCCAAACCGACACAGGUGGUCAGGUAGAGAAUACCAAGGCGCUUGAGAGAACUCGGGUGAAGGAACUAGGCAAAAUGGUGCCGUAACUUCGGGAGAAGGCACGCUGACAUGUAGGUGAAGCGGUUUACCCGUGGAGCUGAAGUCAGUCGAAGAUACCAGCUGGCUGCAACUGUUUAUUAAAAACACAGCACUGUGCAAACACGAAAGUGGACGUAUACGGUGUGACGCCUGCCCGGUGCCGGAAGGUUAAUUGAUGGGGUCAGCGCAAGCGAAGCUCCUGAUCGAAGCCCCGGUAAACGGCGGCCGUAACUAUAACGGUCCUAAGGUAGCGAAAUUCCUUGUCGGGUAAGUUCCGACCUGCACGAAUGGCGUAAUGAUGGCCAGGCUGUCUCCACCCGAGACUCAGUGAAAUUGAACUCGCUGUGAAGAUGCAGUGUACCCGCGGCAAGACGGAAAGACCCCGUGAACCUUUACUAUAGCUUGACACUGAACAUUGAGCCUUGAUGUGUAGGAUAGGUGGGAGGCUUUGAAGCGUGGACGCCAGUCUGCGUGGAGCCAACCUUGAAAUACCACCCUUUAAUGUUUGAUGUUCUAACGUUGACCCGUUACCCGGGUUGCGGACAGUGUCUGGUGGGUAGUUUGACUGGGGCGGUCUCCUCCUAAAGAGUAACGGAGGAGCACGAAGGUUGGCUAAUCCUGGUCGGACAUCAGGAGGUUAGUGCAAUGGCAUAAGCCAGCUUGACUGCGAGCGUGACGGCGCGAGCAGGUGCGAAAGCAGGUCAUAGUGAUCCGGUGGUUCUGAAUGGAAGGGCCAUCGCUCAACGGAUAAAAGGUACUCCGGGGAUAACAGGCUGAUACCGCCCAAGAGUUCAUAUCGACGGCGGUGUUUGGCACCUCGAUGUCGGCUCAUCACAUCCUGGGGCUGAAGUAGGUCCCAAGGGUAUGGCUGUUCGCCAUUUAAAGUGGUACGCGAGCUGGGUUUAGAACGUCGUGAGACAGUUCGGUCCCUAUCUGCCGUGGGCGCUGGAAGACUGAGGGGGGCUGCUCCUAGUACGAGAGGACCGGAGUGGACGCAUCACUGGUGUUCGGGUUGUCAUGCCAAUGGCACUGCCCGGUAGCUAAAUGCGGAAGAGAUAAGUGCUGAAAGCAUCUAAGCACGAAACUUGCCCCGAGAUGAGUCUUCCCUGAGACUAUAAGUCUCCUGAAGGAACGUUAAAGACGAUGACGUUGAUAGGCCGGGUGUGUAAGCGCAGCGAUGCGUUGAGCUAACCGGUACUAAUGAACCGUGAGGCUUAACCUU